Molecule: long non-coding RNA, 2322 nt
Organism: Oncorhynchus kisutch (coho salmon)
Lineage: Eukaryota; Metazoa; Chordata; Actinopteri; Salmoniformes; Salmonidae
Source: Ensembl
ACAGUCUCAUCAGUAAAUAUUUACUUAGUUGAGGAAAUUUGUCCAGGAAGGGACAUGAUGAAGACUGUAAAUACAAUAAAUAAAUCAGUAAAAUCAUAAAGAAGCUUUCAACAGAAUUUGUUGAAACAAUUGGUUGGGUUUCUGGUAAUGGAACUUUUGUUUCUCAGUAAAGUGUUUGUUAUCUGUGGUCUGCUAACCAGUAAACCUAAACUACGGGUCUGAGGCAGGCGCCUUGCAAGUUGUGAAAACAUUUCACAGGUUGAAAAGGAAGUUUGUCAUCCACUUCUCUGCUGCACAACUUUGCCUUUGGUAUUCAAGCUAAGAAGCAUGUGCUGAUAUGGUAGGAUACAAUGGUUGUCUAUUCAAGUGUGUACACCAUUUGACAUAAUGGAGAGCUAUGGCAUGAUGGUAUUAUUUCAUUUUUACCUUAUGGGGUAUUGUGUGUAGGCAGGUGACAAAAAGCGCCUGUUUUCUGUGGUCUGCUAACCAGUAAACCUAAACCACGGGUCUGAGGCAGGCACCUCAUGUUGAAAAGGUAGUAUGGCAUCCACUUAUCUGCUGCACAACUUUGCCGUUGGUAUUCAAGCUAAGAAGCAUGUGCUGAUAUAGUAGUUAGGAUACAUUGGUUGUAUAUUAAAGUGUGUACACCAUUUUACUUAAUGGAGAGCUAUGGCAAGAUGAUCUUCAAUAGAGGAACAAAUGUAGUGAUGGUCCCCCUGUAAGUAGGAUUCAUGUCAACUAGUAAUGUUUAAGCUGGAGGCCAAGCUGAGAACUCAACACUGACAUAUUGGGUGAUAGACAUAGUACCAACUGCCUGGUCAAGGGCAUACCAUUAUAUGUGGGAUUUGAUUGGUCCCUUGCUGAAAAUGGGAAAGGAGUCACAGAGAACAUGGUUCUGAUUGGUUCUUUGUGUGUUCCACAGGAAGACUGCUCCCUGACCUACCUGAGUCUUGCAGGAAAUCAACUGAUGGACGGCAGAGUGGCCACCCUCGCCAGAGUGGGAGAGAGAGUUCCUGCGAGGUUUUCACUGCCUCCAUAAAACUGGCCAACUCCCCCAGGAGAAGGGGGUUCUUGAAACCUUUGGUUAGCCAGAACCUUUGAUCUCCAUCCAGGAGGGCAAGUCAUGACGAGACCUAUUUAGUUACAUUUCAUUGGGCCUAUUUAGUUGCUAUCUAUAUGCCUUACAUUUUACCUCACAAAAGAAGGUCAACAUAUUUACCUGCACAAACCAGAAGAAGACCAAUACUGAUGAUAAGAGAGGUGGUCCUCAUAUUCUCCUCAGUCACAAGAUACUGAAUGUUUUGGGCCAGUGUUGUCGCAAAAUACAUUUUAGACAUGGACCACUUACACCCUUGAAAUCAUUAGCACAACCCUUUAUCGUUAGCAGUUAUCACGACUAACAUUAUGUACUACAGCGUGACUUGUGUUUACAUUUUUAGUGGUACUCUGAAAGUAGUGAAUAUACCUUUGUCAGUUGAGGGGGGAAUUUGAUCUGUAUUGCGGAAGAUCUGUGUUAAAAUGCAGGGUGGGGGCAGCAGCGUAGCCUAGUGGUUAGAGCGUUGGACUAGUAACCUAAAGGUUGCAAGAUCAAAUCCCCAAGCUGACAAGGUAUAAAUCUGUCGUUCUGCCCCUGAACAAGGCAGUUAACCCACUGUUCCUAGGCCAUCAUUGAAAUAAGAAUUUGUUCUUAACUGACUUGCCUAGUUAAAUAAAGGUAAAAAUGAAUGUCAUUUCUCCUUUAAAUUUAAUUUGAGCUAUAACUUGGAUCUUCCACGAUACAAUCAAAUUGAGCCCUAAUUCACAGGAUGAUUUUUCCAAUGUAAAAUAUCCAAAAGGGAGAGACCAAGCCCCUCAUUUUAGAAUGCAUUGCAGGGAGAUAGUAUACAUUAAUAGCAAGGGUUUUAUAGUGAAAUGAAGGAGACUGUUUUGAAUAACCUUCAGGAUUUAAUUCAAUAAAAAUUGCAGUUGUAAUCAAUCAAUCAAUCAAUCAAUCAAAUAUAUUUAUGAAGCCUGUUUUACACCACCCGAUGUCACAAAGUGCUAUACAGAAACCCAGCCAAAAAACCCAAACAGCAAGCAAUGCAGAUGUAGAAGCAUGGUGGCUAGGAAAACUCUCUAGAAAGGCAGGAACCUGGGAAGAAACCUAGAGAGGAACCAGGCUCUGAUGAGUGGCCAGUCCUCUUCUGUCGAGAUGGAAUGUCAGAUAUUAGCAAUGUUAAUAAAUGACUUUAAAGACUGCCAUUCCAUCCAGACAGUUGUGUAUGAAAAUAAUGUUAAGGUAAGCUAUGACAGCGUGUUCUGAAAGAAACGUGUGCCCAGGGC